RNAcentral lists this ribosomal RNA (460 nucleotides) under uncultured bacterium. RNAcentral's name for it is "partial 16S ribosomal RNA". It matches the Rfam family "Bacterial small subunit ribosomal RNA", at positions 338 to 795 of the family's 1533-position model. The record is from RNAcentral.
CCUACGGGAGGCAGCAGUGAGGAAUAUUGGUCAAUGGGCGGGAGCCUGAACCAGCCAAGCCGCGUGAAGGAAGAAGGUACUUAGUAUUGUAAACUUCUUUUAUAUGGGAAUAAAAUGUUCCACGUGUGGGAUUUUGUAUGUACCAUAUGAAUAAGGAUCGGCUAACUCCGUGCCAGCAGCCGCGGUAAUACGGAGGAUCCGAGCGUUAUCCGGAUUUAUUGGGUUUAAGGGGAGCGUAGGUGGAUUGUUAAGUCAGUUGUGAAAGUUUGCGGCUCAACCGUAAAAUUGCAGUUGAAACUGGCAGUCUUGAGUACAGUAGAGGUGGGCGGAAUUCGUGGUGUAGCGGUGAAAUGCUUAGAUAUCACGAAGAACACCGAUUGCGAAGGCAGCUCACUGAACUGCAACUGACACUGAGGCACGAAAGUGUGGGUAUCAAACAGGAUUAGAUACCCCAGUAGUC